RNAcentral lists this long non-coding RNA (359 nucleotides) under Nicotiana benthamiana. RNAcentral's name for it is "long non-coding RNA (NBEN_LNC034786)". The record is from RNAcentral. Lineage: Eukaryota; Viridiplantae; Streptophyta; Magnoliopsida; Solanales; Solanaceae.
AGGGAUGAUUGAGGGAUGUUGUGGGGGGAUUUUGCAUGAGGGAGAGAAGGGUGCCAUGGGGUGUAAAAAAUGUGGUGAUUGGAGGUGGCGCCGCCGUUGAUAGCGACAUUGACAGUGUUUGAAACUUAUCUUCGAAGCAUUUGGCUAAAAUUCGAGGGCAAGUGGUUAUAGAUUGGGAUAGAGGGGUGAGGGCAAUCAGUGUUGUUAAUUUGACAAUAGAGGGGUGAGGGUAAUCAGUGUUGUUAAUUUGACAAUGAUUGGUGUUCCUCCACUGGCUAAGGCAAUUUCUUGCCGGUGGUGCACUGUGGUUAGUGGUAGCAUUAUGUUCUCUGAUGAACAUGACUUAGAGAUGGGGGUCU